Molecule: ribosomal RNA, 678 nt
Filed under: Brevicellicium exile
Lineage: Eukaryota; Fungi; Basidiomycota; Agaricomycetes; Trechisporales; Hydnodontaceae
Description: eukaryotic LSU rRNA
Source: RNAcentral
GAAGUAAAAGUCGUAACAAGGUUUCCGUAGGUGAACCUGCGGAAGGAUCAUUAUCGAACGUUGUGGACUGCGCUUAGGCCUUUCAGCUCGGGCUUGAUCGCCCUUUUGAGCGGGCCUUGGCGUCUUUCCGCUUUACAAUCUCAACCCCCCUGUGCACCUUCUUAUUGCGGUGGUUAGCGGUGGRUAACGCUGCGAGCCCCGCUCUAACAAACUCUUUAUAACGUGACCUUGUAUGUAUCGUUUCUUGAUUGAAACCCACCUUAACAACUUUCAACAACGGAUCUCUUGGCUCUCGCAUCGAUGAAGAACGCAGCGAAAUGCGAUAAGUAAUGUGAAUUGCAGAAUUCAGUGAAUCAUCGAAUCUUUGAACGCACCUUGCGCCCGUUGGUAUUCCGACGGGCAUGCCUGUUUGAGUGUCUUGAAAUCAUCAACCCCCCUGGUUUGCGCUGGGUUCUCGGUUGGAGUUGGGGGUCUUUUUUUGCUGCCGAAAGGCGGCUCCCCUUGAAUGCGUCGGUUGGGUUCCUUAGGCUUUUGCGUCGAAAUGGGGCGUUGUAUUAUCCUCGCUCUCGCUAGACUGCGGCUUAGGUUUUGUUCCCUUCCUUGACUUAGCCUCUGGAGUGGCGGUCAAUACCAAAUCGAAUUCUGACCUCAAAUCAGGUAGGACUACCCGCUGAACUU